Molecule: long non-coding RNA, 263 nt
Filed under: Lactuca sativa (garden lettuce)
Lineage: Eukaryota; Viridiplantae; Streptophyta; Magnoliopsida; Asterales; Asteraceae
Description: long non-coding RNA (LSAT_LNC001780)
Source: RNAcentral
AGAUAUUUUCAAGAUGGAUCCUGAUUUCAUUGAGAAUGAAAAGAAGUAUGAAGACCUGAAGAAAACAAUUCUUGGCGACGAAUCUGAAGAAGAAGAAGAAGAAGAAGAAGAAGGUGGUGGGGAGGAUUCAGAUGAAGAUGAAUCUUCAGAAGAAGAAGAAGAUGAAGAGCAAAUGAGAAUCAGAGAUGAAACAGAAACAAAUCUUGUCAAUCUUCGAAGAACAAUCUACCUAACAAUCAUGUCAAGUGUUGACUUUGAAGAAG